RNAcentral lists this long non-coding RNA (320 nucleotides) under Elaeis guineensis (African oil palm). Its description in RNAcentral is "long non-coding RNA (EGUI_LNC037018)". The record is from RNAcentral. Lineage: Eukaryota; Viridiplantae; Streptophyta; Magnoliopsida; Arecales; Arecaceae.
UCAGGUUGCAUGCUAUUUUAUUGAAGAAGAAAUAAAGGAGGAGAGUUCUAAAUCAUUCUCGUGGAUACCUGUAGAGAUCGAAUACUUGUGUGGCUCUAAAAAGAACCGAAGAGAUAUCCAUGAUCAUCAAAUUAUGGUGAAUACCUACCCGCGUAAAGGUGAAGAUGAGAUCUUCAUAAUUUUGCUUUGCUAAAUUUUUUUUUGCUACAUAUAGUCUUAAGAAUAUGAUAGAGAUGAUCUCAUGAAAUGAGAUCUAUAAGAUGCAUGCUAGAUAAAUUUACUUUUGCUGCAUGUAUAAAAUUUUUGUUGUUCUAGCAUGC